GGACGAACGCUGGCGGCGUGCUUAACACAUGCAAGUCGAACGGAAAGGCCCCUUUGGGGGUACUCGAGUGGCGAACGGGUGAGUAACACGUGAGUAACCUGCCCUUGACUUCGGGAUAACUUCAGGAAACUGGGGCUAAUACCGGAUAGGAAUCCUUGCUGCAUGGUGGGGGUUGGAAAGCUUCGGCGGUUUUGGAUGGACUCGCGGCUUAUCAGCUUGUUGGUGGGGUUGUGGCUUACCAAGGCUUUGACGGGUAGCCGGCCUGAGGGGGCGACCGGCCACAUGGGGCCGGGGGUACGGCCCAGACCCCUACGGGGGGGAGGAGUGGGGAAUAUUGCAAAAGGGGGGGAAGCCUGAUGGAGCAACGCCGGGGGGGGGAUGACGGCCUUCGGGUUGUAAACCGCUUUCAGGAGGGGGGAAGCUUUUGGGACGGUACCGGCAAAAGAAGCACCGGCUAACUACGU
This 464-nucleotide ribosomal RNA is filed under the name uncultured bacterium. RNAcentral's name for it is "partial 16S ribosomal RNA". It matches the Rfam family "Bacterial small subunit ribosomal RNA", at positions 27 to 506 of the family's 1533-position model. The record is from RNAcentral.